This 554-nucleotide ribosomal RNA is filed under the name uncultured bacterium. Its description in RNAcentral is "bacterial SSU rRNA". It matches the Rfam family "Bacterial small subunit ribosomal RNA", at positions 922 to 1475 of the family's 1533-position model. The record is from RNAcentral.
GGCACAAGCGGUGGAGCAUGUGGUUUAAUUCGAUGCAACGCGAAGAACCUUACCUACUCUUGACAUCCAGCGAAGCCUUUAGAGAUAGAGGCGUGCCUUCGGGAGCGCUGAGACAGGUGCUGCAUGGCUGUCGUCAGCUCGUGUUGUGAAAUGUUGGGUUAAGUCCCGCAACGAGCGCAACCCUUAUCCUUGUUUGCCAGCACAUAAUGGUGGGAACUCCAGGGAGACUGCCGGUGAUAAACCGGAGGAAGGUGGGGACGACGUCAAGUCAUCAUGGCCCUUACGAGUAGGGCUACACACGUGCUACAAUGGCAGAUACAGAGGGCAGCGAGACAGCGAUGUUUAGCGAAUCCCUUAAAGUUUGUCGUAGUCCGGAUUGGAGUCUGCAACUCGACUCCAUGAAGUCGGAAUCGCUAGUAAUCGUGGAUCAGAAUGCCACGGUGAAUACGUUCCCGGGCCUUGUACACACCGCCCGUCACACCAUGGGAGUGGGCUGCACCAGAAGUAGAUAGCUUAACCUUCGGGAGGGCGUUUACCACGGUGUGGUUCAUGAC